AUGCCCUCAAGGUCAGCCCAUGUUGUCACAAAAGUCUUCAAAAAUACUGUCCACGAGCCACGUGGCUUGCCCAUGUUCCUGAGAACCAUCGCUGAAAAUGAUGGCUUUUGAGCCACCAGAAACUACAUUUUAAAGAACCUUUCCAGAGGGAUUAUGUGACACUGAAAUCUGAGAAAUCUGGAAAUCUGUUCCACUCUCUCAAGGAACAGAUGGGAAUCAAUCACUCACCAGUGCAAUAUAGAAAUUAGUAGCUGCCUAAUGAACAUGUACACGCACAAAAUCAGCCGUGGGAAUAAUUUUUCACACCUGGAUGGCUCCUUCCAGAACAGCGUGGUGCAGAAGUUAAACCCAGAGGACUCAAGGGGAGAGGGUCUGGACUGUGACACUUAGGAGAGAGAGUCACCCAGCUGUCUGACCCUUGAAUUUCUUAUCUAUAAAAUGGGGAUAACGGUGUCAUCACAGAAUGGUACGAGGAUUGAACGAAGUAAUGCAUGUCAGUCUCUGAUUAGACU
Non-coding RNA from Delphinapterus leucas (beluga whale), 512 nucleotides. The record is from RefSeq and is a predicted model, not a curated record. NCBI's taxonomy places the organism in Eukaryota, Metazoa, Chordata, Mammalia, Artiodactyla, Monodontidae.